UUCAAUAAUAAAAAUAAUUACUAAAUGUAUCAAAUUAAAUAUAAAAUCCAUAUCUGUAAAUAAAACAUACUAAAAUCCAAUAAGUCAAAUAUAAAAUUUAAAACCCACAAUUUUAUGGAGAUGGAGGUGUUGGUAGACCUCGGACUAGUCUCAUCACCUCCUCCAUCAUAGAGCUUCUCAUACGUUCCAUAUUUGUCUCCAUUUGCAACUCCAUUUGCAAUUUCAAUUGAUCAAUACGAUCUAUCAUAGCUUGCCUCUCAUUCUCAAGCUGUUUCUCCAACUCUUUUAUUCGUUGUUGUAAGGCAGCAUUUGGACUAGAGCUUAAUGUAAACGCCCGACUCGAAGAUGCUCCAAUUAAAGGGUAAAAGGUAGAUGAUUCAGAUCUAAGACCAUACACUUUUCGUCUCUUCUCGCCGCCUUCGACAACAUUCAAGUAAAGUGGGUUCUAAUUGAUGUUGUUGGGUGUGAUUUGUGUUAGCUCCUCCCUCCUAGCUACUAUAGCAUCAUGUAUCUCCUUAGAUUUUUGGUCCACAAAAGUCUCCUUGUCAUUCUUUCGGUUGAGUGUGGACAAAUAACUCAGUCGGAGUUGGCUUUCGACCCAAUUCUUUUCCCUUAAAUUCUUCUCGAUAAAAAUCUUUUGUUUCUUGCGAGACAGCCUUCCAGUUUUGCACCACUUCUUUCACCCCCUUUUGCUGUCACAUUCAAGCAACACUCUAAAUCCAAAUGCAAUAGUUUCUGGCAUCUUUUUGCAAUAAUGGCCAAUGCUUCAUCAUCAAUGCCUGGUCCUUGCACUUUCAAAACCUCCAAUUUAGGGAGUUAAAAGUUUAAGUCAAGAUUCUCUAUCCCCAUGCAUCGGUUCAUCUCCAAAUGCCUAAUUUUCCUACAGUUUCUUAGAACUUCCUUUAUCCCUUCUUCUGUAAUAGUAGGACAGUAGCUAAUCUCAAGCACUUGUAAACUUGGACAACAUAACGCAGCCUUUUUGAGACAUUCAUCACUUAAACUGUUAUUCCCACUCAAUUUUAGAGAUUUCACUGUGAUUGAUCACCAAAUCCACCAUAAACUCUUCCACCCCCAAGUUUGUUCUCUCCAUUCUCACAUCUUCUAACAAGGGGCAGUUUCUUAUGAGGGCAAAGAAGGUCAAACUCGCGAGCUUAGAACAUAAGUCAAGAUUUAUAAAGAUCAAUUUUCCAAGGAAGUUGGACAGCUCAAUCAUGGAUUUGGCAGUAAGGAAAUUUGCCCCUUGAACAUCAAAGUGUUCAAGAAACUGAUACCUAUACAAUAAACAGGAAAUUCCAACAAAAGAGAAAUUAUAGCAUUGAGAGAUAGUCAGCUUCUUUAAUGGGAGACAUGCUUCCGCAACAUAACAGAGCAAUUCAUCAGAGAUAAAUGAAUUUGAGAGAUGAAGCUCAGAUAAAGUUUUAGCAUAAGUAAACGAUUCUAUAAAAAAAUGAAUCUAUAGAAGGGAUUCCAACACCUUCCAAGGAAAUUGAAUUCAAGUUAGCACUAUUGCGCAUAACCAUACUAAUACCAUUCUGAGUGAUAAAAUCAUAGUCACGAACCACAACUUCUGAUAAUAACACACAAUUCAACGAUAGUGCGUGAAGGGAUUUAUCAGUAAUGAAAUGGUUACCAGAAAAGUCGAUCUUUCAUAGCUUAUUGAGCUUCAAUGCCAAAUCAACAAUCCCUUCAUCCGUUACAACCCCCGAGAAAGAUUGCAAAUCCAAAGACCCAUUGGGAUUAAAACGAGAAUUAUACUGGGGAAAACUAAUAUCAAGAUCUUCAAGCAAUGGAAAACAAGUUCCAAUUACAAAUAGAUCACUAUCUUUAAAAUGACCUAGCUUUGAGCAAUUCAGUUUCCUCAGAUUGCUCAUUCUCAACCCCAAUUCCCUCAAACCAACUAAGGGAAAGUGACUUUGGUUUGAGAAACCAAGGGUUUCGAGGUCCAACCCAGAUUUGGAGAUUAGAUAGAGAAAGGAAUUAAGGUCACCCUCGAAUUCUCGAAUUUCGAUUGCUUUCAGAUUUGGGAAUCUUUCGAGAAGACGGGGAAGCAAAGGAACAACCUGGGAGGAGAUUGUUAGGGUACGGCGGAGCUGAUCGGUGAUAGAGAGGAACAAAGUGGAGACUAGUGAGAGGGAUUCAAAGUGACGAUGGUGGUCGAGGGAAGUGAAAACUAAUUCCCAGCAUUCCUAAGGCAAAUCCAUGGAUUUCUCAGUCAUCUUGUCGGGUGGAUUGAGAGAUGGGAUGGGGAGGAGGCUUAGAGAGAAGAGAAUAGAUGGGAUUCUGAGAUAGGAGCGGGCAAGGGCACGUUGAUGUGUGCUUGUCUGUAGGCUCUACAAGCACAUGGCAACGGUUUU
RNAcentral lists this unclassified non-coding RNA (2354 nucleotides) under Hevea brasiliensis (rubber tree). Lineage: Eukaryota; Viridiplantae; Streptophyta; Magnoliopsida; Malpighiales; Euphorbiaceae. The record is from RNAcentral.